UCCUGCGAGUAUAUUGCAGCCCUGGUCUC
Molecule: non-coding RNA, 29 nt
Filed under: Rattus norvegicus (Norway rat)
Lineage: Eukaryota; Metazoa; Chordata; Mammalia; Rodentia; Muridae
Source: RNAcentral